Molecule: ribosomal RNA, 430 nt
Filed under: uncultured bacterium
Lineage: Bacteria
Description: bacterial SSU rRNA
Rfam family: Bacterial small subunit ribosomal RNA
Source: RNAcentral
GGACCCGCACAAGCAGUGGAGCAUGUGGUUUAAUUCGACGCAACGCGAAGAACCUUACCAGCGUUUGACAUGGGAAGUGCCGGUUACAGAAUGGUAACCUUCAGUUCGGCUGGCUUCCACACAGGUGCUGCAUGGCUGUCGUCAGCUCGUGUCGUGAGAUGUUGGGUUAAGUCCCGCAACGAGCGCAACCCUUAUCGUUAGUUACUAACAGUUCGGCUGAGGACUCUAGCGAAACUGCCGGUGAUAAGCCGGAGGAAGGUGGGGAUGACGUCAAGUCCUCAUGGCCCUUACACGCUGGGCUACACACGUGCUACAAUGGUAACUACAACGGGACGCAAUACUGCGAGGUGGAGCAAAUCCCCAAAAGUUAUCUCAGUUCGGAUUGCACUCUGCAACUCGAGUGCAUGAAGUUGGAAUUGCUAGUAAUCGC